This 468-nucleotide ribosomal RNA is filed under the name uncultured bacterium. RNAcentral describes it as "partial 16S ribosomal RNA". It matches the Rfam family "Bacterial small subunit ribosomal RNA", at positions 28 to 507 of the family's 1533-position model. The record is from RNAcentral.
GACGAACGCUGGCGGCGUGCUUAACACAUGCAAGUCGAACGGCAAGGCCCUGCUUUUGUGGGGUGCUCGAGUGGCGAACGGGUGAGUAACACGUGAGUAACCUGCCCUUGACUUUGGGAUAGCUUCAGGAAACUGGGGCUAAUACCGGAUAGGAGCUCCUGCUGCAUGGUGGGGGUUGGAACGUUUCGGCGGUUGGGGAUGGACUCGCGGCUUAUCAGCUUGUUGGUGGGGUAGUGGCUUACCAAGGCUUUGACGGGUAGCCGGCCUGAGAGGGUGACCGGCCACAUUGGGACUGAGAUACGGACCAGACUCCUACGGGAGGCAGCAGUGGGGAAUAUUGCACAAUGGGCGGAAGCCUGAUGCAGCAACGCCGCGUGCGGGAUGACGGCCUUCGGGGUGUAAACCGCUUUCGCCUGUGACGAAGCGUGAGUGACGGUAAUGGGUAAAGAAGCACCGGCUAACUACGUG